CGGGACCUCAGGUCAGGCGG
Molecule: ribosomal RNA, 20 nt
Filed under: Sophora davidii
Lineage: Eukaryota; Viridiplantae; Streptophyta; Magnoliopsida; Fabales; Fabaceae
Also listed under: 3 other names
Description: partial large subunit ribosomal RNA
Source: RNAcentral